GGGGCUGUAUUGGUAUCGACAUUUAAAAUUUAAGAAAGUACGAAUCAGGUCGAAGUUUGUAUUCUUCGUAAAAACAUACAAAAUUUAAAAUAAACGCUAACAAUAUAAUUCGUUUUAACUUUAAUACAGUAGGAAAUUUCGCAAGCAAACAAAAUUAUUCAAACUUAUUGUUUACUAUUUAAAAAAUUCUAUUAAAAAUUUUUCCGCUAUAAUUAGACAUUUUUGUCUAACUUAGUUUAGAAUAACUUAUAAAGUGUUCACUUUUUUCUUAUUUGAACUACGCCUGUGAAAAAAGUAUUUUAAUAACAUUUAGAUGGACGUGGGUUCAAUUCCCAUCAGCUCCA
Molecule: transfer-messenger RNA, 344 nt
Filed under: Psammoneis obaidii
Lineage: Eukaryota; Bacillariophyta; Plagiogrammaphyceae; Plagiogrammales; Plagiogrammaceae
Description: SsrA
Rfam family: transfer-messenger RNA
About the family: Bacterial tmRNA, also known as 10Sa RNA or SsrA, is named for its dual tRNA and mRNA-like properties. Its role is to liberate the mRNA from a stalled ribosome.
Source: RNAcentral